AGUGAACGCUGGCGGCAUGCCUAACACAUGCAAGUCGAACGAACGCACGGGAAGCUCUCGCCUCUGCCGGUGGCGGCGGACGGGCGAGUAAGAAGUACAUCACAUUCCACUUUGUCUGGGGGAACUUCGGGGAGCCACAGCCGCUGAUACCGCAUACAUUCUACGGGAUAAAGCAAUAGUUCUAGGGACCUUUCCUGUCUCUUUUAGAUGAUGCCGCAUUAGCUAGUUGGCGUGGUAAGGGCCCACCAAGGCAACGAUGCGUAGCUGAUCUGAGAGGAUGAUCAGCCACACUGGAACUGAGACACGGUCCAGACUCCUACGGGAGGCAGCAGUGGGGAAUAUUGGACAAUGGGCGCAAGCUUGAUCCAGCAAUACCGCGUGAGUGAAGAAGGUCUUCGGGUUGUAAAGCCCUUUUGUUGGGAAAGAAAAGCAGUAGGUUAAUCCCCCGCUGUUCUGACGGUACCCAAAGAAUAAGCAACGGCUAACUUCGUG
RNAcentral lists this ribosomal RNA (492 nucleotides) under uncultured bacterium. RNAcentral describes it as "partial 16S ribosomal RNA". It matches the Rfam family "Bacterial small subunit ribosomal RNA", at positions 29 to 507 of the family's 1533-position model. The record is from RNAcentral.